RNAcentral lists this ribosomal RNA (253 nucleotides) under uncultured bacterium. RNAcentral's name for it is "partial 16S ribosomal RNA". It matches the Rfam family "Bacterial small subunit ribosomal RNA", at positions 524 to 776 of the family's 1533-position model. The record is from RNAcentral.
UACGUAGGGUGCAAGCGUUGUCCGGAAUUAUUGGGCGUAAAGAGCUUGUAGGCGGUUUGUCGCGUCUGCCGUGAAAAUCCGGGGCUCAACCCCGGACUUGCGGUGGGUACGGGCAGACUAGAGUGUGGUAGGGGAGACUGGAAUUCCUGGUGUAGCGGUGAAAUGCGCAGAUAUCAGGAGGAACACCGAUGGCGAAGGCAGGUCUCUGGGCCACUACUGACGCUGAGAAGCGAAAGCGUGGGGAGCAAACCGG